GUCCUCUAGUGCUAAAAGUUCUAAUUAUGGACUGUUUUGAACACGGAUCAUCCCCAUACUUCAUUCAAAUCCAACCAUCGCUUUUCCUUGAGUUUACAGCAGGGCCUCCUCUUCCUCUUUGGCCUCUUCCUUGGCCACCUCCCUCUCUUCCUUGGCCACCUCCCCCGCUUCCUUGGCCACCUCCCCCGCUUCCUUGGCCAGCUGCCCCUCUUUUUUGUCCAUCUCCUCCUUCUUGGCCACCUCCUCUUCCUGCUCCUCUCCCGCCACCUGGUCAAUGCUUCCAUUUACCCCUAUGAUGUCUCCUUUUCUUCUAACAACAAAAAGAGAUUAAGCUACUACUAACACAUGAAGGAAUAGUACUGUAUGUUCAUGUAGUAUCAUUAUUCUUGAAAGUAAUAUGAAA
Molecule: long non-coding RNA, 403 nt
Filed under: Amphimedon queenslandica
Lineage: Eukaryota; Metazoa; Porifera; Demospongiae; Haplosclerida; Niphatidae
Description: uncharacterized LOC109587218, transcript variant X2
Source: RNAcentral